This 2802-nucleotide long non-coding RNA is filed under the name Sus scrofa (pig). RNAcentral's name for it is "lncRNA (ENSSSCG00040008479.1)". The record is from RNAcentral. Lineage: Eukaryota; Metazoa; Chordata; Mammalia; Artiodactyla; Suidae.
ACCGCCACCAUGUUGGACUGAGCAUCUUGUGCAGCUUCUGCAAAGACAGACCGACUCGAGGAGCUGAAGUGCUCUCGCAGCCGUUUCCCAUCAGGAACUCUGGCCUGAGGCACCAGGUGCGAGGCCUCUGCGUGCGGCCUCCUGUGAGCUUGUGAAACAGACCAAGCACAAAGGAAAAGAAACAGGAUCCUGCUGGCAACGGCGUGAUGACACGUUUCUGCUGACAGCUCUGAACUUUCAGGCAGAAUCUCUGUGAAUAAGGUGAGAGGGAGGCUUUAAUUAACGCCCUCAGACGGGGAAUGAAAACACCGAGCAGGAAGGUUGUGAGAUGGAUCUGGCUGUCAAAACGAAAUGAAAUAAAAACCCCAAAGUGUUCUGCCCCAACAAGCAGCCCUGCCUCGUGCUGCUGGGCCCUGACCCUCUCCCAGGCCUGGGCCAUGACCCUGGAGUCUGCGGAGAGAUGCUUCAUUUGGAAGGAAUCGAUGAAGCAACUUGCCACAGAAAUCUCCUACCAAGGGCAUCCUUUGCCUCACUCCUCUCUCUGCCCUGAGGACUGCUUUCAAAUCCCUGAUGAUCUCAAAUUCCCUAGGAAGGGCUCGAAAAUAUCCCUCCGUAAUUAUGCCCCAGUGAGGAACUAUCAGCCUGGGAAAGAGGACUCCGAAAGAAUCCCUGAAGUCAGGCCUGGCCAUUGUGUCUGUUUUUAGAGUUCGAUGAGAAAUUCAUGUUACACUUCAGGAAACCUCUUUGGAAGAGACAUAUUUCAGAAUCGGAAUGACUUUGAACACAGCCUGAGAAAUCCAAUAUCGUACAGCAGGGAGAUGUCAGCACCGAGGUUCAAGGACAGCUGACGAGGUAGCACGUUUCGUCACCCCACUCUGUCUGGAGUGAUCCCUGCCCUUCUCGCUAAUAGACUCACGCUCUUCUCUCCAUGUGAAAACAAGUCCCAAGCUUUAUCAUUUUCAACAAGGAUCUGUGGACCACUUAGGAUCUGCCAGGCAUUGCCUUAGGAACUGGAAAUCCAGAGGUUACUUUAAAAGCAAAAUCCUUGUCUUCGUAAAAGCAGAUGCACCAUAUGCACCUCCCAAAACCCAGCUGCUCCACUGAAGGUGUGCAAAGCAAUCUGUACUUAUGCAGAAAGGAUAUGCCCUUGGCUCUGAUCUUACUUCUCUGUUCAUCUCAGGUUUGCUGUCCGGUCUCACCCUGACUGUAAAUUCCUCAAGGGCAUGAACCACAGCCUCCUUUGGUCUCUCUUGGUGCCACAUAUGGAGCCAUGUCCACCGUGACCACUCAAAACCCAUGACAGGCAUCCAGACACUCAGAUAACCUCCUAGGUGAUGUGCUCUGACACAGAGAGCAUGUGUCGUUGGGCUUGCUGUUUAUAUUUUUGGAACCUGAGUCAGCGUGCUUGCAUAGAAUGGCCAAGAAAACAAAGCGAGGGGCCAGGCUGAGACAAGACUGGGAAUCUUACUUCCCAAAUUCCUGACUUAAAGAAAACAGUGGGGACGAGACAGGAGUCUCUCACCCAUCAAGAGUGCGUGACUGAGGGUGAUCUCAAAAGGUCUCAAGCGAUCUGAAAUGUUGUUAUUGGUAAGAAUUACGCCUACACAUGAUCGGCGCUUUAUACCUUGCAUUUAGUCAUUCAUUCAAGAACAAACCUCACUGUGUGGCAGAACCACCAGAAUAGGAUGCCUGCCUUCAAGGAUCUGGGCUCUUUGCUGAUUUGAUCUUCUAGGAUCGCUUCAGGACAGUUUGGCAGCCCCCAUCACCCCUGGGGAAUAAAGCCUAAGGUUUCCAACUUCAGACUUUGGGAUUUAACCGCAAAGCAUAGGGUAACAUGAUGAGCUCUUCCAGCUUCGCUGUAUUCAUAAUAGUGUUCAAAGCAUCAUCCAUCUUAGGGGGCAUAAGAGUCAAGGUUGAGCAUAAAGGGAUUCGUCGUAGGAACUGGCUGACGUCAUUGUGGGCAUGGGCUAAGCGUGAGUGAAGUUCCCAGGGAAACAGUCAGGAAAGGUGCCAGUGGGCUGGAAGCCCACGGACAAAGGCUGACGCUGGCUGUCCAUCUGCAGGCAGCCGUGUAGAAGGAUGGUCCAGGGGAAAGGAGAGCACCAGACACCAAGCAGCUGGUCGGCAUCUCUGAGCCCGUUUCAAUAAACGCCUUGCAACUGAUAAAAUCAGGCCGCCCAAGUAACCUCCCCUCUGAUUAGCAGGAAGUCAGCUGAUCAGGGACUUUAAUUAUAUCUGCAAAAUCCCUUCACGGCAACGCAUGCACUGGUCUUCGGCUGAACAACCGGGAAAGAUUUGUGUGCUGCAAAACACCCCCUGCCUCACAAUCCAGCUCCCAAGAGAAUAUCACUCCCAGCCCAUCCUCCCCUGAACUCAGGAGAAAGAGACACAGGGUCAGUCCCUGUUGAGGUGACUCAGCAAAAAGACAUCCCGUGAGGUUAUCAUGAAGCUUAAGGAGAUGGUACACAUAAAAUGCCUGGAGAACACAUAGCAGGUGGAACUGCCAUUUAGCAGAUGAGAAAGUCAAGCUCAGAAAAUAGGCAAAUAGGAGUUCCCGUCGUGGCGCAGUGGUUAACGAAUCCGACUAGGAACCAUGAGGUUGCGGGUUCGGUCCCUGCCCGUGCUCAGUGGGUUAACGAUCCGGCGUUGCCGUGAGCUGUGGUGUAGGUUGCAGACGCGGCUCGGAUCCCAAGUUGCUGUGGCUCUGGCGUAGGCCGGUGGCUACAGCUCCGAUUCAACCCCUAGCCUGGGAACCUCCAUAUGCCGCAGGAGCGGCCCAAGAAAUAGCAACAACAACAACAA